GGUGUUACCCCGAUGUUACCAGAACUAGGAAUAGAACUUCAGCUCUCCAUCCCAGACAGCAUCGCUUGCUGAGAGAAAAUGGAUCCGCCACCAGUUUUUGCUUGUAAUAAACAGCCUGAAGAGUCUUCCAAAGUGUGGAUAAGGAAUGAACCAUAAAAAGAAAAAUGUUUUUUACAAUCUUUUCCUCAUCCCUUGUCAGUCUUAUUGCCUCAUAGCCCACUGGACUCCACACUUUUCCAGAAAGAAGAAAGAACCCUGGACACAGGAAGAGUCACAAAACUAUUCUAUUAAAUAAUUGCUUCUGGAAUUCUUUGCUAAUAACAUCAAAUUUUCAACUGAAAUUGACUCUAUAUAUUGGAAUAAGGGCCCAACAGACACAUUCCAGACUCAGAAAACUGAGAAGCGUUUAGAUUUUCAGCGAGCAAUCUUGUUUGCAGUUAAUUUCCAUUGAAUAGCUUAUACAUGUUGGUGUCUGGAGAUAGUAGGUUAUAAAGCAGCAUGGCCAUUUUCUUUUCUCUCUCUCUUUUUUUGAUUGGGUAAGAAAAGGGAGGUGAUCUAUUAGCAUUCCCCUAUGAACUCUUCUUCCCCCCCCUUUUUUCCCCACAGUCCAAAUCUUUUAAUUCCUUCUCCAUUUAUAUCAGGGUUUCCCAGACUCAGCACUGUUGGCAUUUUGGGUGGGGUAAUUCUUUCCUGUGGACGGCUGUCCUGUGCAUUUUAGGAUAGUUGGCAGCAUCCCUGGCCUCCACCCCCUAGAUGCCAGCAGCAUGCCCACCUCAAUCAAGACAGUCAAAAAUGCCUCCAGACUUUACCAAAUGUCCCUUGGGGGGACAAAACCACCCCCGUUGAGAACUACUGUUUUAUAUUUAAAGUCAAGUGGCUGUUUAGCCAUUUGCUGCCUACAUGUCAGAUAAUCCUAAAAUGGAAUUGGGGGCUGAAUAAAACAGAGGGUACCAAGUUGAGUGAGCCCAUCAGCCUCUGUGUGGGACACUCAUCAGUGAGCUCCAGAAAUGGAAUUCUUCAAUAUCGUUGAUGAGUCAGCAGCCAGAAACUAGUCAUGAACCCACUGUCUCUGGAAAUGGUGAAUUUUUGGUGCAGUGAUGUUCACAGCUCCAUGACCCCUUAGGGCAUGGUUAUGAAUUGUGAUGUUCACUACUCUUUUGAGCCUCAG
RNAcentral lists this long non-coding RNA (1168 nucleotides) under Homo sapiens (human). RNAcentral's name for it is "HSALNT0124723". Lineage: Eukaryota; Metazoa; Chordata; Mammalia; Primates; Hominidae. The record is from RNAcentral.